Long non-coding RNA from Oncorhynchus tshawytscha (Chinook salmon), 803 nucleotides. The record is from Ensembl. Lineage: Eukaryota; Metazoa; Chordata; Actinopteri; Salmoniformes; Salmonidae.
CAUGUUUUUUGUACCUUUAUUUAACUAGGCAAGUCAGUUCAGAACAAAUUAUUAUUUUCAAUGAUGGGUUAGGAACAGUGGGUUGGUUAACUGUCUUGUUCAGGUGCAGAACGACAGAUUUGUACCUUUUCAGCUCGUGGAAUUCCGUCUUGCAACCUUUCGGUUACUAGUCCAAAGCUCUAACCACUAGGUUACCUGCCGCCCCUUAUAUUGUUAAACACUGUAGCAUGUUUACAUUAUUAGGUACUUUAGCAAGUUUACAUUAUUAGGUACUGUAGCAUGUUUACAUUAUUAGGUACUAUAGCAUGUUUACAUUAGAUACAGUAGCAUGUUUACAUUGUUAGAUAAUGUAGCAUGUUUACAUUAUUAGAUACAGUAGCAUGUUUACAUUAUUAGAUACAGUAGCAUGUUUACAUUAUUAGAUACUGUAACAUGUUUACAGUAUUAGAUACUGUAACAUGUUUACAUUAUUAGAUACUGUAGCAUGUUUACAUUAUUAGAUACUGUAGCAUGUUUACAUUAUUAGAUACUGUAGCAUGUUUACAUUAUUAGAUACUGUAACAUGUUUACAUUAUUAGAUACUGUAGCAUGUUUACAUUAUUAGAUACUGUAACAUGUUUACAUUAUUAGAUACAGUAGCGUGUUUACAUUAUUAGAUACUGUAGCAUGUUUACAUUAGGGACUGCAACAUUUACAUUAUUAGGUACUAUAGCAUGUUUACAUUAGAUACAGUAGCAUGUUUACAUUGUUAGAUAAUGUAGCAUGUUUACAUUAUUAGAUACAGUAGCAUGUUUACAUUAUUA